RNAcentral lists this transfer RNA (67 nucleotides) under Chrysomeloidea sp. 4 KM-2017. Its description in RNAcentral is "tRNA-Ser". Lineage: Eukaryota; Metazoa; Arthropoda; Insecta; Coleoptera. The record is from RNAcentral.
GAAAUGUGGGAAUCAGAUUUAAGCUUCUAACUUAAAAUCUAAGCGGUGGGACCUCGUUUACAUUUCA